AUUGAACGCUGGCGGCAUGCCUUACACAUGCAAGUCGAACGGCAGCACGGGAGCAAUCCUGGUGGCGAGUGGCGAACGGGUGAGUAAUAUAUCGGAACGUGCCCAGUCGUGGGGGAUAACGUAGAGAAAUUUACGCUAAUACCGCAUACGAUCUAAGGAUGAAAGCGGGGGACCGUAAGGCCUCGCGCGAUUGGAGCGGCUGAUAUCAGAUUAGGUUGUUGGUGAGGUAAAGCUCACCAAGCCGACGAUCUGUAGCUGGUUUGAGAGAACGACCAGCCACACUGGGACUGGGACACGGCCCAGACUCCUACGGGAGGCAGCAGUGGGGAAUUUUGGACAAUGGGCGCAAGCCUGAUCCAGCAAU
This 364-nucleotide ribosomal RNA is filed under the name uncultured bacterium. RNAcentral's name for it is "bacterial SSU rRNA". It matches the Rfam family "Bacterial small subunit ribosomal RNA", at positions 30 to 395 of the family's 1533-position model. The record is from RNAcentral.